AUGGCGUUGUGGGCGGGGCUGGGGCAGGCGGCGACGGUUGCGCAGCUGGUUGGGGUGGACGCCGGCGGGCUCAUCUCCCUAAUCACGCAGGCGGCCUUGACGGCUCGCCAGAACAAGAAGGCCUGCGAGCAGCUCUCACGCCGCGUCCACAUGAUCGCCGACCUGCUGCCGCACCUCCAGGAACCUGAGUUGAUGCGGCGGCCCGAGUUCCGGCGGCCUCUGGCCGGGCUGGGCGACACGCUCCGGGAGGCGCACGACCUCGUCAUGGUCUGCCAGCGGAAGAGCCGCUUCUACCGCUUCCUCAAUGCCAGGAGGCUGGCUGACAAGUUCAGGGACAUCCAGAGUAGGAUGGACUCCUACCUCCUCGUCGUCCCUUUCAUCAGCUACAUAGCCUUAACCUACAACCUCAACCGAAUCUGCGACUCCCUCCGUCCAAGCCAUACAACCCUUCAAUCGCCGGCAUCCACCUCCCAGUCCCACCCAGUCCCUGCUUGGAAGGGUGUUGCCAAGUUCACGCUGGCAGAGAUCGCGGCGGCGUCCAACAGCUACGCCUUCUUCACCAAGGUCUGCAAGGGCACCUCCGGGACGGUGUACAGAGGGAGGCUUAGCGACGGGAGCGACGUGGCCAUCAAGCGCAUCAGCAAGACGGCGCAGGACAGGGAGAAGGUGCUACGCACGGAGCUCGCCGUCAUCCCGCACCCCCGCCACAGCCAUUUCGUGCGCCUCCUGGGCUGGUGCGAGGAGGAGGACGAGCGCCUGGUCGUCACCGAGUACAUGCGUAACGGCUGGCUCCACGACCACCUACACGGUCGCAAGCCGCCUUCCUCGGCGGUGAUGGUGUCCUGGAAUACGCGCGUGGAGGUGCUCCUGGGCGCGUCGCGCGCCAUCAGAUACCUCCACUGCAACUUCGAGCCGUCGGUCAUCAACUGCAACAUCAAAUCCUCCAACAUCCUGCUGAACGCUAGCUGGAUGCCGCGCGUGUCGGACCUGGGGUCCUCGGUUCGGCACGAGACGGACGAGGCGGAGUACCAGGUCGUAGGCAAGGGCGGCUACAUCGACCCGGAGUACUGCCGCACAGGGCGCCUGACGCCGGCGACCGACGUGUACAGCUUCGGCGUUGUGAUGCUGGAGGUGUUGACGGGCAGGCCGCCGGUGAUAACUACUCCGGCUGAAGGGGGGGCAGGGCGAGGUCCAGAUGGACUUGGUGCACUUUGCGCUCCCACUUAUCGAGGCCGGGGAGCUGGAGAAGCUGCUGGACGGGCGCCCGGAGCCGCAGCCAACGCCGGUGCAGCUCCAGGCGCUGCAGUGGGUGGCCAACACGGCGGCCCAGUGUCUGCAUCGGCAGUCGAUAGUUCGGCCACACAUAUCAGACGUCGUGGCUCACCUCGACAUAGCGUUCAGGCUCGCCAGCACGUAGCAUGCAGUGCCGCCAAUGGAUGA
RNAcentral lists this ribosomal RNA (1440 nucleotides) under Triticum aestivum (bread wheat). RNAcentral describes it as "partial small subunit ribosomal RNA". The record is from RNAcentral. Lineage: Eukaryota; Viridiplantae; Streptophyta; Magnoliopsida; Poales; Poaceae.